GCAAAUCCGUUGGGGUGCCCACCAGGGCUGAGAGGCGUCACGCUAACCCAUCGAACCUGAUCCGGGCAAUACCGGCGUAGGGAACGGAAACUGCGAAGGU
Molecule: non-coding RNA, 100 nt
Filed under: Haematobacter massiliensis
Lineage: Bacteria; Pseudomonadati; Pseudomonadota; Alphaproteobacteria; Rhodobacterales; Paracoccaceae
Description: TPP sequence
Rfam family: TPP riboswitch aptamer (THI element)
About the family: Vitamin B(1) in its active form thiamin pyrophosphate (TPP) is an essential coenzyme that is synthesised by coupling of pyrimidine and thiazole moieties in bacteria. The previously detected thiamin-regulatory element, thi box was extended, resulting in a new, highly conserved RNA secondary structure, the THI element, which is widely distributed in eubacteria and also occurs in some archaea.
Source: Rfam by way of RNAcentral